CGGGGUGCAGCAGGCGCGAAAACUUUACAAUGCGGGAAACCGUGAUAAGGGGACACCGAGUGCCAGCAUCAUAUGCUGGCUGUCCAGGUGUGUAAAAUACACCUGUCAGCAAGGGCCGGGCAAGACCGGUGCCAGCCGCCGCGGUAACACCGGCGGCCCGAGUGGUGAUCGUGAUUAUUGGGUCUAAAGGGUCCGUAGCCGGUUUGGUCAGUCCUCCGGGAAAUCUGACGGCUCAACCGUUAGGCUUUCGGGGGAUACUGCCAGGCUUGGAACCGGGAGAGGUAAGAGGUACUACAGGGGUAGGAGUGAAAUCUUGUAAUCCCUGUGAGACCACCUGUGGCGAAGGCGUCUUACCAGAACGGGUUCGACGGUGAGGGACGAAAGCUGGGGGCACGAACCGGAUUAGAUACCCGGGUAGUCCCAGCCGUAAACGAUGCUCGCUAGGUGUCAGGCAUGGCGCGACCGUGUCUGGUGCCGCAGGGAAGCCGUGAAGCGAGCCACCUGGGAAGUACGGCCGCAAGGCUGAAACUUAAAGGAAUGG
This 541-nucleotide ribosomal RNA is filed under the name uncultured archaeon. Its description in RNAcentral is "bacterial SSU rRNA". It matches the Rfam family "Archaeal small subunit ribosomal RNA", at positions 326 to 867 of the family's 1478-position model. The record is from RNAcentral.